Molecule: ribosomal RNA, 189 nt
Filed under: uncultured Bacteroidales bacterium
Lineage: Bacteria; Pseudomonadati; Bacteroidota; Bacteroidia; Bacteroidales
Description: partial 16S ribosomal RNA
Rfam family: Bacterial small subunit ribosomal RNA
Source: RNAcentral
CCUAGGGGAGGCAGCAGUGAGGAAUAUUGGUCAAUGGUCGCAAGACUGAACCAGCCAAGUAGCGUGAGGGAAGACUGCCCUAUGGGUUGUAAACCUCUUUUAUCUGGGGAUAAAGUGAGCCACGUGUGGCUUAUUGCAGGUACCAGAAGAAUAAGGACCGGCUAAUUCCGUGCCAGCAGCCGCGGUAAU